This 555-nucleotide ribosomal RNA is filed under the name Alphaproteobacteria bacterium SmT01s. Its description in RNAcentral is "bacterial SSU rRNA". It matches the Rfam family "Bacterial small subunit ribosomal RNA", at positions 72 to 669 of the family's 1533-position model. Lineage: Bacteria; Pseudomonadati; Pseudomonadota; Alphaproteobacteria. The record is from RNAcentral.
GGAUCCUUCGGGAUUAGUGGCAGACGGGUGAGUAACGCGUGGGAAGCUACCUUGUGGUAGGGGACAACAGUUGGAAACGACUGCUAAUACCCUAUGAGCCCUAUGGGGGAAAGAUUUAUCGCCAUGAGAUGUGCCCGCGUUAGAUUAGCUAGUUGGUAAGGUAAUGGCUUACCAAGGCGACGAUCUAUAGCUGGUCUGAGAGGAUGAUCAGCCACACUGGGACUGAGACACGGCCCAGACUCCUACGGGAGGCAGCAGUGGGGAAUAUUGGACAAUGGGGGCAACCCUGAUCCAGCCAUGCCGCGUGUGUGAUGACGGCCUUAGGGUUGUAAAGCACUUUCAGCAGUGAAGAUAAUGACAUUAACUGCAGAAGAAGCCCCGGCUAACUUCGUGCCAGCAGCCGCGGUAAUACGAAGGGGGCUAGCGUUGUUCGGAAUCACUGGGCGUAAAGAGUACGUAGGCGGACUGAUAAGUUAGGGGUGAAAUCCCAAGGCUCAACCUUGGAACUGCCUUUGAUACUGUCAGUCUUGAGAUCGAGAGAGGUGAGUGGAACUC